Molecule: ribosomal RNA, 461 nt
Filed under: uncultured bacterium
Lineage: Bacteria
Description: partial 16S ribosomal RNA
Rfam family: Bacterial small subunit ribosomal RNA
Source: RNAcentral
CCUACGGGUGGCAGCAGUGAGGAAUAUUGGUCAAUGGGCUUACGCCUGAACCAGCCAAGUCGCGUGAGGGAUGACUGCCCUAUGGGUUGUAAACCUCUUUUGUCAGGGAGCAAUUGGCGCUACGUGUAGCGUUAUCGAGAGUACCUGAAGAAAAAGCAUCGGCUAACUACGUGCCAGCAGCCGCGGUAAUACGGAGGUGGCAAGCGUUAUCCGGAUUUACUGGGUGUAAAGGGUGAGUAGGCGGGAUUGCAAGUCAGAUGUGAAAAAUAUGGGCUCAACCGAGAGAGGGCAUUUGAAACUGAAGUUCUUGAGUGAUCGAGAGGCAGGCGGAAUGCGCGGUGUAGCGGUGGAAUGCAUAGAUAUCAGGCAGAACACCGAUGGCGAAGGCAGCCUGUUGGACAUUAACUGACGCUGAGGCGCGAAAGCGUGGGGAGCAAACAGGAUUAGAUACCCCUGUAGUC